UGCGCAGGCGGUUAUGUAAGACAGAGGUGAAAUCCCCGCGCUUAACGUGGGCAUUGCAUUUGAAACUAUGUAGCUAGAGUUCUGUAGAGGGGGGUAGAAUUCCAGGUGUAGCGGUGAAAUGCGUAGAGAUCUGGAGGAAUACCGAUUGCGAAGGCAGCCCCCUGGACAGUGACUGACGCUCAUAUGCGAAAGCGUGGGGAUCAAACAGGAUUAGAUACCCGCGUA
This 225-nucleotide ribosomal RNA is filed under the name uncultured Thorsellia sp. Its description in RNAcentral is "partial 16S ribosomal RNA". It matches the Rfam family "Bacterial small subunit ribosomal RNA", at positions 568 to 792 of the family's 1533-position model. The record is from RNAcentral. Lineage: Bacteria; Pseudomonadati; Pseudomonadota; Gammaproteobacteria; Enterobacterales; Thorselliaceae.